This 32-nucleotide ribosomal RNA is filed under the name Platanus occidentalis var. occidentalis. The record is from RNAcentral. Lineage: Eukaryota; Viridiplantae; Streptophyta; Magnoliopsida; Proteales; Platanaceae.
UGGUGCGAUCAUACCAGCACUAAUGCACCGGA